GAUGAACGCUGGCGGUAUGCUUAACACAUGCAAGUCGUACGAAGAUAAAAUUGUGCUUGCACGAUUUUAUACUUAGUGGCGGACGGGUGAGUAACACGUAAGAAUCUACCUUUUGGCGAGGGACAACCACUGGAAACGGUGGCUAAUACCUCAUAUAACUGAGAAGUGAAAGAUGAAAAUCACCAAGAGAUGAGCUUGCGUCUGAUUAGCUAGUUGGUAAGGUAAAGGCUUACCAAGGCGACGAUCAGUAGCUGGUCUGAGAGGAUGAUCAGCCACACUGGGACUGAGACACGGCCCAGACUCCUACGGGAGGCAGCAGUGAGGAAUUUUCCGCAAUGGGCGAAAGCCUGACGGAGCAAUACCGCGUGAAGGAUUAAGGCCUAUGGGUUGUAAACUUCUUUUCUCAGAGAAGAAUUUUGACGGUAUCUGA
RNAcentral lists this ribosomal RNA (430 nucleotides) under uncultured bacterium. RNAcentral's name for it is "bacterial SSU rRNA". It matches the Rfam family "Bacterial small subunit ribosomal RNA", at positions 28 to 482 of the family's 1533-position model. The record is from RNAcentral.